Molecule: ribosomal RNA, 468 nt
Filed under: uncultured bacterium
Lineage: Bacteria
Description: partial 16S ribosomal RNA
Rfam family: Bacterial small subunit ribosomal RNA
Source: RNAcentral
GACGAACGCUGGCGGCGUGCUUAACACAUGCAAGUCGAACGGAAAGGCCCUGCUUUUGUGGGGUGCUCGAGUGGCGAACGGGUGAGUAACACGUGAGUAACCUGCCCUUGACUUUGGGAUAACUUCAGGAAACUGGGGCUAAUACCGGAUAGGAGCUCCUGCUGCAUGGUGGGGGUUGGAAAGUUUCGGCGGGUGGGGAUGGACUCGCGGCUUAUCAGCUUGUUGGUGGGGUAGUGGCUUACCAAGGCUUUGACGGGUAGCCGGCCUGAGAGGGUGACCGGCCACAUUGGGACUGAGAUACGGCCCAGACUCCUACGGGAGGCAGCAGUGGGGAAUAUUACACAAUGAGCGGAAGCCGGAUGCAGCAACGCCGCGUGCGGGAUGACGGCCUUCGGGUUGUAAACCGCUUUCGCCUGUGACGAAGCGUGAGUGACGGUAAUGGGUAAAGAAGCACCGGCUAACUACGUG